UGUGAUCUUUAUGUGGUGAUUGCUGUCC
RNAcentral lists this non-coding RNA (28 nucleotides) under Mus musculus (house mouse). Lineage: Eukaryota; Metazoa; Chordata; Mammalia; Rodentia; Muridae. The record is from RNAcentral.